RNAcentral lists this ribosomal RNA (550 nucleotides) under uncultured bacterium. RNAcentral describes it as "partial 16S ribosomal RNA". It matches the Rfam family "Bacterial small subunit ribosomal RNA", at positions 355 to 899 of the family's 1533-position model. The record is from RNAcentral.
UGGGGAAUAUUGCACAAUGGGCGAAAGCCUGAUGCAGCAACGCCGCGUGUGUGAAGAAGGCCUCGGGUUGUAAAGCACUUUGUCCGGAAAGAAAUCCUUGGCUCUAAUACAGUCGGGGGAUGACGGUACCGGAAGAAUAAGCACCGGCUAACUACGUGCCAGCAGCCGCGGUAAUACGUAGGGUGCAAGCGUUAAUCGGAAUUACUGGGCGUAAAGCGUGCGCAGGCGGUUUGCUAAGACCGAUGUGAAAUCCCCGGGCUCAACCUGGGAACUGCAUUGGUGACUGGCAGGCUAGAGUAUGGCAGAGGGGGGUAGAAUUCCACGUGUAGCAGUGAAAUGCGUAGAGAUGUGGAGGAAUACCGAUGGCGAAGGCAGCCCCCUGGGCCAAUACUGACGCUCAUGCACGAAAGCGUGGGGAGCAAACAGGAUUAGAUACCCUGGUAGUCCACGCCCUAAACGAUGUCAACUAGUUGUUGGGGAUUCAUUUUCCUUAGUAACGUAGCUAACGCGUGAAGUUGACCGCCUGGGGAGUACGGUCGCAAGAUUAAAA